This 579-nucleotide ribosomal RNA is filed under the name uncultured bacterium. RNAcentral describes it as "bacterial SSU rRNA". It matches the Rfam family "Bacterial small subunit ribosomal RNA", at positions 338 to 916 of the family's 1533-position model. The record is from RNAcentral.
CCUACGGGAGGCAGCAGUAAGGAAUAUUGGUCAAUGGGCGCAAGCCUGAACCAGCCAUGCCGCGUGCAGGAAGACGGCCCUAUGGGUUGUAAACUGCUUUUGAACAAGAGAAAACCUCGGUACGUGUACCGAGCUGAUAGUAUUGUUAGAAUAAGCAUCGGCUAACUUCGUGCCAGCAGCCGCGGUAAGACGAAGGAUGCAAGCGUUAUCCGGAUUCAUUGGGUUUAAAGGGUGCGUAGGCGGCCUGAUAAGUCAGUGGUGAAAUCUCUCAGCUUAACUGAGAAACUGCCAUUGAUACUGUCGGGCUUGAGUACAGAUGAUGUGGGCGGAAUAUGACAUGUAGUGGUGAAAUACUUAGAUAUGUCAUAGAACACCGAUUGCGAAGGCAGCUCACAAAACUGUAACUGACGCUGAGGCACGAAAGUGCGGGGAUCAAACAGGAUUAGAUACCCUGGUAGUCCGCACCGUAAACGAUGAUUACUCGUUGUUGGCAAUAUGACCGUCAGCGACCAAGCGAAAGCGAUAAGUAAUCCACCUGGGGAGUACGCCGGCAACGGUGAAACUUAAAGGAAUUGACGG